GCAAACUUGGUCAUUUAGAGGAAGUAAAAGUCGUAACAAGGUCCCCGUAGGUGAACCUUCGGGGGGAUCAUUACCGAGCGUCGCGGACCGUUUUUUGGACCGCGUCCUCCCCAUCCCUUGCUCGAAACCUCAACCUUGCUUCGGCCGCUCCGACGGCCGGAAUUUCAACCCUAAAAACGGUGCAUCUGAGCGGUGAAAGCCGAACUUAGUACAACCUGCAACGAUGGAUCUCUUGGUUCCGGCAUCGAUGAAGAACGCAGC
RNAcentral lists this unclassified non-coding RNA (261 nucleotides) under uncultured fungus. RNAcentral's name for it is "partial contains small subunit ribosomal RNA, internal transcribed spacer 1, and 5.8S ribosomal RNA". The stretch from base 1 to 73 matches the Rfam family "Eukaryotic small subunit ribosomal RNA", at positions 1759 to 1831 of the family's 1831-position model. Lineage: Eukaryota; Fungi. The record is from RNAcentral.